This is a long non-coding RNA of Gopherus flavomarginatus (Mexican gopher tortoise), 287 nucleotides long. RefSeq lists it as uncharacterized. The record is from RefSeq and is a predicted model, not a curated record. The transcript is spliced from 3 exons. NCBI's taxonomy places the organism in Eukaryota, Metazoa, Chordata, Testudines, Testudinidae.
AAGUUGCUGCUACAUCCCCUAUUACCAGACCUAUGUGGGAGGGAACCUUCAAAACUCUCUUAACGAAGUUGGGCCUCCUGGUCCUGGCCUCUGGAACAACUUGAGACAGGCUUCCGAUCAUUUCAUUGUAACAGGAGGGGCACCACACCAAGAACAUAACUCCUGGCAUCUGUUGGAAUGACAUCUUCAGCUUCAGCCCAUAGAGUUAAUGAAAGUGACAAGCUCAUUCUUGCCUGUGAUCUGAUCUUGCUUGGGACCUUUCUGAUAUUCUGACUCCAUUCUCCCAG